Molecule: ribosomal RNA, 274 nt
Filed under: uncultured bacterium
Lineage: Bacteria
Description: partial 16S ribosomal RNA
Rfam family: Bacterial small subunit ribosomal RNA
Source: RNAcentral
AUACGGAGGGUGCAAGCGUUACUCGGAAUCACUGGGCGUAAAGCGCGCGCAGGCGGUUUGAUAAGUUGGAUGUGAAAUCCUAUGGCUCAACCAUAGAACUGCAUCCAAAACUGUCAAACUAGAGUCUGGGAGAGGAAGAUGGAAUUAGUUGUGUAGGGGUAAAAUCCGUAGAGAUAACUAGGAAUACCAAAAGCGAAGGCGAUCUUCUGGAACAGUACUGACGCUGAGGCGCGAAAGCGUGGGGAGCAAACAGGAUUAGAAACCCCAGUAGUCC